Molecule: long non-coding RNA, 181 nt
Filed under: Dasypus novemcinctus (nine-banded armadillo)
Lineage: Eukaryota; Metazoa; Chordata; Mammalia; Cingulata; Dasypodidae
Description: Deleted in lymphocytic leukemia 1 conserved region 1 (ENSDNOG00000034035.1)
Rfam family: Deleted in lymphocytic leukemia 1 conserved region 1
Source: RNAcentral
UAGGGGCCCGAGGGUCGGCGGACGCUUAAUCGACCGGCAUUUUUCCUCCUACGCGAGGGAAACUAACAAGGGUCCAGAGUUCAAGCGGAAAGAAAAACGUCUUACAGCCAGUGUCUACACUCUAGAGAACGGGGUUGGGGGGGGGUUCUGAGUCCGCGGGAACUCGGCACAGCCCCGCGGG